RNAcentral lists this ribosomal RNA (510 nucleotides) under uncultured bacterium. Its description in RNAcentral is "bacterial SSU rRNA". It matches the Rfam family "Bacterial small subunit ribosomal RNA", at positions 28 to 524 of the family's 1533-position model. The record is from RNAcentral.
GACGAACGCUGGCGGUGUGCUUAACACAUGCAAGUGGUGCGACGAACCAGAGCUUGCUCUGGGGCAAAGCCGCGAACGGGUGAGUAACACGUGGGUAAUCUACCCCGAUGACCGGGACAACCCGAGGAAACUCGGGCUAAUACCGGAUGUGGUACGGAGACAUAAGUCUCUUUACUAAAGGUAGCUUCGGCUUCCGCAUUGGGAGGGGCCCGCGGCCCAUUAGCUAGUUGGUGGGGUCAAGGCCUACCAAGGCAACGAUGGGUAGCUGGUCUGAGAGGACGAUCGGCCACACUGGGACUGAGACACGGCCCAGACUCCUACGGGAGGCAGCAGUGGGGAAUCUUGCGCAAUGCGCGAAAGCGUGACGCAGCAACACCGCGUGAGGGAAGACGGCCUUAGGGUUGUAAACCUCUUUCAGAUGGGACGAAGGUGAUGCGGUGAAUAGCCGAUGUCAUUGACGGUACCGUCAGAAGAAGCUCCGGCUAACUACGUGCCAGCAGCCGCGGUAAU